UGGGGAAUAUUGGACAAUGGGCGAAAGCCUGAUCCAGCCAUGCCGCGUGUGUGAAGAAGGUCUUCGGAUUGUAAAGCACUUUAAGUUGGGAGGAAGGGCAGUAAGCGAAUACCUUGCUGUUUUGACGUUACCGACAGAAUAAGCACCGGCCAACUCUGUGCCAGCAGCCGCGGUAAUACAGAGGGUGCAAGCGUUAAUCGGAAUUACUGGGCGUAAAGCGCGCGUAGGUGGUUCGUUAAGUUGAAUGUGAAAGCCCCGGGCUCAACCUGGGAACUUCAUCCAAAACUGGCGAGCUAGAGUAGGGCAGAGGGUGGUGGAAUUUCCUGUGUAGCGGUGAAAUGCGUAGAUAUAGGAAAGAACACCAGUGGCGAAGGCGACCACCUGGGCUCAUACUGACACUGAGGUGCGAAAGCGUGGGGAGCAAACAGG
This 429-nucleotide ribosomal RNA is filed under the name Pseudomonadota bacterium. RNAcentral's name for it is "Proteobacteria bacterium partial 16S ribosomal RNA". It matches the Rfam family "Bacterial small subunit ribosomal RNA", at positions 355 to 776 of the family's 1533-position model. The record is from RNAcentral. Lineage: Bacteria; Pseudomonadati; Pseudomonadota.